AGCCUGACUCUAGCCCUACCACACCCAAACAUCAAACCUUCUACACUCUAAUUAAACAAAACAUUCUCCCUCACCUAGUAUAGGCGAUAGAAAAGUUCACUACGGCGCUAUAGAGAACAUGUACCGCAAGGGAAAAAUGAAAUAGCAAUGAUAAGCCAAGCACCAAACAGCAAAGCUUAACUCUUGUACCUCUUGCAUCAUGAUUUAGCAAGAACAAUCAAGCGAAAAGACACUUUAAGUUUGCCAUCCCGAAACCUAGGCGAGCUACCUGCAAGCAGCUAUAUACCCGAGCAAACCCGUCUCUGUUGCAAAAGAGUGGGAAGACUUGUUGGUAGAGGUGAAAAGCCAAUCGAGCCAGGUGAUAGCUGGUUACCUACAAAAUGAAUCUAAGUUCUCCCUCGAUUCUCCUAUAAGGAUCUCCCAAUCCUAACCCGCACGAGACAAAUCAAGGGUUACCCAAAGGAGGUACAGCUCCUUUUUAAAAGAACACACUCUCUUCUAGCGGAUAAGCCUCUCACAAAUGAACUGUGGGCCCUCAAGCAGCCAUCAACAAGCGAGUGCGUCAAAGCUCAAAUCUCAAAAAUCCAAGAACUCUGCAACUCCCUUAUCUAUAGUAGGUUAACCUAUUCUAAUAGAAGAACUAAUGCUAUAAUGAGUAACUAGGGCAUUACCCUCUUUUGGCGCAAGCUUACAUCAACCCAUUAUUAACGAAAUCCUAAAUGCUCACUAACCCAAACAAGACCUAACAUUCCCAUAAAACCCUCGUUAACCCAACUUACAGGAGCGCCCAAAAAGAUGAUUAAAACCUAUAGAAGGAACUAGGCAAACACAAGGCCCGACUGUUUACCAAAAACAUAGCCUUCAGCAAAACAAGUAUUGAAGGUGAUGCCUGCCCAGUGACCAACACGUUUAACGGCCGCGGUAUCCUAACCGUGCAAAGGUAGCGCAAUCAAUUGUCCCAUAAAUCGGGACUAGUAUGAACGGCUAAACGAGGUCUUAACUGUCUCCUAUAGGUGAUCAGUGAAAUUGAUCUCCCUGUGCAAAAGCAGGAAUAAUUCCAUAAGACGAGAAGACCCUGUGGAACUUCAAAAUCAGCUACCACUCCCACAAAACUCCACCCCAUUGGGUCCACCAACCCACCGGGACUACUGGCAUGCAUUUUUUGGUUGGGGCGACCUUGGAGCAAAACAGACCCUCCAAAAAUAAGACCACUCCUCUUAACUAAGAUCAACUCAUCGACGUAUUAACAAUAACCAGACCCAAUACAAUUGAUUAAUGGACCAAGCUACCCCAGGGAUAACAGCGCAAUCUCCUCCAAGAGCCCCCAUCGACGAGGAGGUUUACGACCUCGAUGUUGGAUCAGGACAUCCUAGUGGUGUAGCCGCUACCAAGGGUUCGUUUGUUCAACGAUUAACAGUCCUACGUGAUCUGAGUUCAGACCGGAGUAAUCCAGGUCGGUUUCUAUCUAUGAUUAACUCCUUCCAGUACGAAAGGACCGAAAGAGUAGGACCAAUGCCAUAAGCAAGUCCUCGCUAAAAGCAAUGUAAUCAACUAAACUGCCAAAAGCUCAACUACCCUAACAAUCCUAGAAAAGGACAG
This 1599-nucleotide ribosomal RNA is filed under the name Furnarius figulus. RNAcentral describes it as "16S ribosomal RNA". It matches the Rfam family "Bacterial large subunit ribosomal RNA". Lineage: Eukaryota; Metazoa; Chordata; Aves; Passeriformes; Furnariidae. The record is from RNAcentral.